CCUACGGGUGGCAGCAGUGAGGAAUAUUGGUCAAUGGGAGAGAUCCUGAACCAGCCAAGCCGCGUGAGGGAAGACGGCCCUAUGGGUUGUAAACCUCUUUUGUCGGAGAACAAAACCCGGGACGUGUCCCGGACUGCGUGUAUCCGAAGAAAAAGCAUCGGCUAACUCCGUGCCAGCAGCCGCGGUAAUACGGAGGAUGCGAGCGUUAUCCGGAUUUAUUGGGUUUAAAGGGUGCGUAGGUGGUCCGUUAAGUCAGCGGGAAAAGUGCGGGGCUCAACCCCGUGUAGCCGUUGAAACUGGCAGUCUUGAGUUGGCGAGAGGUACGCGGAAUGCGCGGUGUAGCGGUGAAAUGCAUAGAUAUCGCGCAGAACUCCGAUUGCGAAGGCAGCGUGCCGGCGCCAGACUGACGCUGAGGCACGAAAGCGUGGGGAUCGAACAGGAUUAGAUACCCUAGUAGUC
This 459-nucleotide ribosomal RNA is filed under the name uncultured bacterium. RNAcentral describes it as "partial 16S ribosomal RNA". It matches the Rfam family "Bacterial small subunit ribosomal RNA", at positions 338 to 795 of the family's 1533-position model. The record is from RNAcentral.